GAUGAACGCUGGCGGCGUGCCUAAUACAUGCAAGUCGAGCGAACGGACGAGAAGCUUGCUUCUCUGAUGUUAGCGGCGGACGGGUGAGUAACACGUGGAUAACCUACCUAUAAGACUGGGAUAACUUCGGGAAACCGGAGCUAAUACCGGAUAAUAUUUUGAACCGCAUGGUUCAAAAGUGAAAGACGGUCUUGCUGUCACUUAUAGAUGGAUCCGCGCUGCAUUAGCUAGUUGGUAAGGUAACGGCUUACCAAGGCAACGAUGCAUAGCCGACCUGAGAGGGUGAUCGGCCACACUGGAACUGAGACACGGUCCAGACUCCUACGGGAGGAAGCAGUAGGGAAUCUUCCGCAAUGGGCGAAAGCCUGACGGAGCAAAGCCGCGUGAGUGAUGAAGGUCUUCGGAUCGUAAAACUCUGUUAUUAGGGAAGAACAUAUGUGUAAGUAACUGUGCACAUCUUGACGGUACCUAAUCAGAAAGCCACGGCUAACUACGUG
RNAcentral lists this ribosomal RNA (497 nucleotides) under uncultured bacterium. RNAcentral describes it as "partial 16S ribosomal RNA". It matches the Rfam family "Bacterial small subunit ribosomal RNA", at positions 28 to 507 of the family's 1533-position model. The record is from RNAcentral.